This is a long non-coding RNA of Oncorhynchus keta (chum salmon), 2964 nucleotides long. RefSeq lists it as uncharacterized. NCBI's taxonomy places the organism in Eukaryota, Metazoa, Chordata, Actinopteri, Salmoniformes, Salmonidae. The transcript is spliced from 5 exons. The record is from RefSeq and is a predicted model, not a curated record.
GGUGGCAUGGUAGCCUAGUCGUUAGAGCAUUGGACUAGUAAACGAAAGGUUGCAAGUUCAAAUCCCCGGGCUGACAAGGUACAAAUCUGUCGUUCUGCCCCUGAAUAGGCAGUUAACCCACUGUUCCUAGGCUGUCAUUGAAAAUAAGAAUUUGUUCUUAACUGACUUGCCUAGUUAAAUAAAGGUAAAGAAUGACACAUUUUGCUUAACCUGCUCCCGCGCAACACUCAUUCUAACGUUACACCUCUCAACUGCCAUUUUAAAUUCUUGAGUAUCUUGUUUUUCAGUAAUCUUCUAGCUUGGAUGAAGAAGGGAACAAAGAGAAGGAGUACAGAAGUUAUUCAGCCUGCUGACUAAAUAGCCUAUGAUUUGCUGUCUAGCUUUCUCUGUUUAUCUGCCUGACUGCCAGAUUGAUGAGGGGCAACAUAGUCAAACUGAGCUGGCCACCUGGCCAAGCUGAGCAAUCGGGGGGAGAAGGGCCUUGGUCAGGGAAGUGACCAAGAACCCGAUGGUCACGCUGACAGAGCUCUAGAGUUCCUCUGUGUAGAUGGGAGAGCCUUCCAGAAGGACAACCUCUCUGCAGCACUCCACCAAUCAGGCCUUUAUGGUAGAGUGGCCAGAACUCAGUAAAAGGCAAGACAGCAGUAAAAGGCACAUGCCAGCCUGCUUGGAGUUUGCCAAAAGGCACCUAAAGACUCUGACCAUGAGAAACAAGAUUCUCUGGUCUGAUGAAACCAAGAUUGAACUCUUUGGCCUGAAUGCCAAGCUUCACGUCUGGAGGAAACCUGGCACCAUCCCUACAGUGAGACGUGGUGGCAGAAUCAUGCUAUGGGGAUAUUUUUCAGUGGCAGGGACUGGGAGACUAGUCAGGAUCAAGGUAAAGAUGAACAGCGCAAAGUACAAAGAGAUCCUUGAUGAAAACCUGCUCCAGAGGACUCAGGACCUCAGACUGGGGCGAAGGAUCACCUUCCAACAGGACAACUUCCCUAAGCACACAGCCAAGACAACGCAGGAGUGGUUUCAGGACAAGUCUCUGUAUGUCCUUGAGUGGCCCAGCUAGAGGCCGGACUUGAACCCGUUCGAACAUCUCUGGAAAGACCUGAAAAAUAGCUGUGCAGCGACACUCCCCAUCCAACCUGAGAGGAUCUGCAGAGAAGAAUUGGAGAAACUCCCCAAAUACAGGUGUGCCAAGCUUGUAGCAUUAUACCCAAGAAGACACCAGGCUGUAAUUGCUGCCGAAGGUGCUUCAACAAAGUACUGAGUAAAGGGUCUGGAUACUUGUGAUAUUUCUUAAAACCUGUUUUUGUUUUUGGGAUAUUUUUUUGUAGAUUGAGGGGAAAAAAAGAUUUAAUCCAUUUUAGAAUAAAACUAUAACGGAACUAAAUGUGGAAAAUGUCAAGGGGUCUGAAUACUUUCUGAAUGCACUGUACUUGCCAGGCUAAGAGUAACUUAGUGAAGACCUUAGGUAAUGGUUAAUCAUGAUUAAUCUGUCUUUACAGUUCCUGAAAAAUGUCAAUGACCUUAUGUAUGGCCUAUACAGCAGUGCUUGGCCACCCACUCCGCUACCAAGUGACCUAUUCUGCCACAACCCAGUGAGAGUCCAGAACCACCACUCCUUAAAUACAUAUUGACAGUGCAAAACCCUUGUCCUGAUUCAAGGCUCCUCUCUUGUGGUCACCAACUGGACGAUCUUCAAGGCAUUCCUAGUCAAUCACCAAACAUUUGUGUAGAAAACCCAACGAUGAAUGCUGUGGUGUGGCGUACCGCAGACAAGCCACCAGGGGGAGACUUGUCGAGGCGUGGUGAGAUGGAUCACGUGGCAGUGGCUCCCUCUGCUGGACGUGUCAGGUCUCGACAGGUCCUACGGACAGGACUAAUUGGGGCUGCUUUAGGCUGAGUGACUGGUUUGGCUAAAACCCUUCUCCAGAAUUCUGCUCAAUGACCCAGGAGCCUCGGCUGUGAUCAACCUCAAAUUAACCCUUAUGAAGUCAAUGAAAAUUGCAUGAAAGAGACUGUAAUUCCCCUAAAAAGUUUAAAUAUACAGUAUAUUUCUGAUGUAUUUACUUUAACACAUUUUGUGUCAAAUGUUUUGUAUACCUGUGCAGAUAAUUGAUUCAAAUGUAUAACUAUUGGGCCUACUUAUGUCCCUAGAUCUUGUAUUUUAUAUAUAAAAAAGAAAUAUCCUCAAGUUGAACUAUAAAGUUUUCAAAAAAAUUGGUUAAAAAAGUGAAUGCAUUUUUGUUAUCAAUGUUUUAGGUUCUCAUUGUAAAAGAGAAUGCGUUCUCAAUGACUUACCUGGUUAAAUAAAGGAUAAGUACAUACAAAAUAGUUGGGUAAGUUGAGCCUCCCUUGUUUGUAGGAAACCAUACACAAAAUGUAUCCUUUGACCAAAUGGUCCCGUCUGGCUCAGUUGGUAGAGCAUGGUGCAUGCAAAGGGUUGUGGUUUUGAUUCCCAUGGUGGACCAGCACAAAAAUCUAUGCACUCAAUUUAAGUCACUCUGGUUAAGAGCGUCUGCUAAAUGGUAAAUGUAAAAAAAUAUGUCUGAAGAAAGACACCACAUGGAAAAAGUGGUAGGCAAGUUAGGUCCAAGCCAAAUAAUUGUGUUGUGUUGGAGGUUUUAUGAUGCUUGUAUUUAAAUCAAAAAGUAGAUACUUUAAGAUUGUUCUAUACAUCAGUUGGGGUCGUAAGCUACAAUAUGAGGUCCUAAACAUAGCAUGAAAGCAGCUUCCUUGUAGCUGUGUGUGCUAAUAUAGUCAAAAUGUUUGCCUUGGUGUAAGUUGAGCCAACAAUCAUGGGGUAAGUUUAGCAAAUUAAAGUGUUUUCUUCUCACAUGUAAUGCAAGGUAUUAUUGCUGGGAUAUGUUAAAGUGUACAAAUUAUACAAAGUGUUUGUUAGGUGUUAAGCCUGUGUUAAAAGGUGCUUAAAAUUAUUAAAAGAAAAAAAAGCUAUUGUGUUAAAUUGUA